AUUGAACGCUGGCGGCAGACUUAACACAUGCAAGUCGAGCGGGGUGAUGGUGCUUGCACUAUCACUUAGCGGCGGACGGGUGAGUAAUGCUUAGGAAUCUGCCUAUUAGUGGGGGACAACAUCUCGAAAGGGAUGCUAAUACCGCAUACGUCCUACGGGAGAAGGCAGGGGAUCACUUGUGACCUUGCGCUAAUAGAUGAGCCUAAGUCGGAUUAGCUAGUUGGUGGGGUAAAGGCCUACCAAGGCGACGAUCUGUAGCGGGUCGGAGAGGAUGAUCCGCCAAACUGGGACUGAGACACGGCCCAGACUCCUACGGGAAGCAGCAGUGGGGAAUAUUGGACAAUGGGGGGAACCCUGAUCCAGCCAUGCCGCGUGUGUGAAGAAGGCCUUAUGGUUGUAAAGCACUUUAAGCGAGGAGGAGGCUCUUUUGGUUAAUACCCAAGAUGAGUGGACGUUACUCGCAGAAUAAGCACCGGCUAACUCUGUGCCAGCCGCCGCAGUAA
This 503-nucleotide ribosomal RNA is filed under the name uncultured bacterium. RNAcentral describes it as "partial 16S ribosomal RNA". It matches the Rfam family "Bacterial small subunit ribosomal RNA", at positions 30 to 523 of the family's 1533-position model. The record is from RNAcentral.